AAGCGCCCAAGGAAUGAUGGUGAUGCUGGUCCUCAGACCUUGGUGUAGCACUGGGCCAAACUACCCACGUCACUGUAAUAAAUCUCUGGUUCCAAGAAGGGAGCUCAAUUAUUCACUGUUACAAAAAUGGCCAUUGAUGAUCUUGAAAACCCAGUGGCUGGACCCAAACAUGUAACAAAAACAACAAUACUGCUGGACAGUCCUGCCCUCAGAGGUUCAGAAAGUCCCCCCACCACCUUUGGAGAAACUUUAGCCAAAGACCUAAAAGAUCUCCAUCUGGAAGAGGGAACCCUCCUCCACUGUGCAGACAACAUCCUGAUCAUCAGCCUGCCUAAGGAGGCUUCUGAACCACCUGGCCUCCUUAAAGGAUAUAUGGUGUCCAAGAAAAAGGCUCAAAUGGCACAAACUAGGGUGACCCACCCAGGAUUCAUUCUCAUAGGUCAGAGAAGCCCACCCAGGAAAAGAGAGAAGACAUUUGCAGCCUCACCCUCUCCUAAAACUAGAAGACAGCUUAAGGGUUCCCCCUCCCCAUGGCCAGGUUUUGCCAUUCUGGAUCCCUGACUACGGUCUAUUAGUUAUGCCUCCAUAUGCAAAGUUCAAAAGAAAGGAUGAUGGUCGUUUUGAAUGGAAUUCACAAUGCAAUGGGGCCUUUCAAGAAUUGAAAAACUAAUUGCUUCAGGCCCCUGCCCUGGCCCUCCCAGAUUUAGCUACACUCUUUGACCUUUACUUUUAGGAGAGAAAAACAAUCAUCCUUGGGGUAUUAGUUCAAACACUGGGGCACUUUACUCCGGUGGUUGUUUAUUUCUCUAAACAAUUAGAUCCAGCCACCAAGGGACGGCCUCCUUGGCUUCAGGAAGUAGCUGCUAUUACAACCUGCUCAAGGAGGCGGAAAAGUUAACAUCUGGUCAGCCAAUCACUAUAUGAACUCCAUUAUGAUUCAGGUUUUAAACAAAGCCCUACUGUAUAGCACAGGGAAUUUUGUUCAAUGUUAUGUAACAGCUCGGUUGGGAGAGGAGUUUGCAGGAGAACGGAUACAUGUAUAUGUAUGGCUGAGUUCCUCUGCUGUCCACCUGAAACUAUCACAACAUUGUUAACUGGCUAUACUUGAAUGAAAUAGUUUAUUUCCGGAGUGGUACAAUCCACCGCCAGGCAGGUGAUACAUGUUCAAUCCCUAGUCUAGGAAGAUUCCACACACCAGGGGUAACCACAGGUGGUGCACCACAACUACUGAGCUGCAACUUCAGAAGCCCGAGCUCCCUAGACCCCACAC
This is a long non-coding RNA of Bos taurus (domestic cattle), 1270 nucleotides long. The record is from Ensembl. Lineage: Eukaryota; Metazoa; Chordata; Mammalia; Artiodactyla; Bovidae.